UCUGAUGAGUCUGACAUGGUGGCUUGGACCUUGGGGAAGAAAAAUAAAUUUACGACCAAAUCGAUAUAUGAAUAUCUGGAGAGAAAUGUGAUGGUGUGUAACUAUAAAUGGAUUUGGAGAUCCAAGAUACCCCUGAAAAUACAAAUCUUCCUUUGACAGCUUUUUCAGGAUGCAGUCUUGACUAGAGAUGUUAUGAGUAGGAGGAAAUGGUUGGGUAACCCUACUUGCUUUUUUUGUGACAAAAAGGAAACCUCCCAGCAUCUCUUCUUUACAUGUCCAGUAGCUAGAGUUAUAUGGAGGACUGUGGGUUGUGUCCUGGGCACGGUUCUAUGUCCGAAUAAUAUUUGGCAAUUUUUUUCGUGGUGCUAUGUGUUUCUUCCUGAUGGGAAGAGAUUCUACACUUUUGGUUUAGCACCGAUGUGCUGGGCUAUGUGA
This 435-nucleotide ribosomal RNA is filed under the name Triticum aestivum (bread wheat). Its description in RNAcentral is "partial small subunit ribosomal RNA". Lineage: Eukaryota; Viridiplantae; Streptophyta; Magnoliopsida; Poales; Poaceae. The record is from RNAcentral.